This is a non-coding RNA of Phrynosoma platyrhinos (Desert horned lizard), 72 nucleotides long. The record is from the annotation of a GenBank genome assembly. Lineage: Eukaryota; Metazoa; Chordata; Lepidosauria; Squamata; Phrynosomatidae.
GAAUCAGUGGUAUAGGGGUUUGAAUGCUGGACUAUGACUCUGGAGACCAGGGUUCAAAUCCCUGCUUGGCCA